RNAcentral lists this ribosomal RNA (319 nucleotides) under Burkholderia cepacia. RNAcentral's name for it is "bacterial SSU rRNA". It matches the Rfam family "Bacterial small subunit ribosomal RNA", at positions 1212 to 1530 of the family's 1533-position model. The record is from RNAcentral. Lineage: Bacteria; Pseudomonadati; Pseudomonadota; Betaproteobacteria; Burkholderiales; Burkholderiaceae.
GGCUUCCACGUNCAUACAAUGGUCGGAACAGAGGGUUGCCAACCCGCGAGGGGGAGCUAAUCCCAGAAAACCGAUCGUAGUCCGGAUUGCACUCUGCAACUCGAGUGCAUGAAGCUGGAAUCGCUAGUAAUCGCGGAUCAGCAUGCCGCGGUGAAUACGUUCCCGGGUCUUGUACACACCGCCCGUCACACCAUGGGAGUGGGUUUUACCAGAAGUGGCUAGUCUAACCGCAAGGAGGACGGUCACCACGGUAGGAUUCAUGACUGGGGUGAAGUCGUAACAAGGUAGCCGUAUCGGAAGGUGCGGUUGGAUCACCUCC